RNAcentral lists this long non-coding RNA (481 nucleotides) under Salvia miltiorrhiza (redroot sage). Its description in RNAcentral is "long non-coding RNA (SMIL_LNC004167)". The record is from RNAcentral. Lineage: Eukaryota; Viridiplantae; Streptophyta; Magnoliopsida; Lamiales; Lamiaceae.
AUUUAGUGAUACUCGGAAAUAGCAAACAAAAAUUCAAAAAGAGAAUAUACAUUGUUGGCAAGUAAAACCCAAUGAAAUCUAAAAUUCGACAUGUUUCCGUCUCGCUACUCGCCAGCCCCUGCAAAUACCCAACUGAUGAUUUAACCAUGUAGCGUUGUCCUUACCUAGGACACAAUAUCUAAGCCCUCAUCAAAGCCGGAAUCCACCGGUGACUUUACACAAAUAAGCUCCAGCAAGAUUAUUUCAUAGUUAAUUACAAUAUCUAUCAAUUUCAUACGAGUAUGCAGUCUCUAAGAUGGGCAAGUAAUACAACUUUAUGAACCAAGUCAUCAAAAAACCGAUUGAACCUCCGCUGCUGCCUCCAAAGAUUCCGGCAGAGAACAGCUGGAUUGAACAUCCCAGGUCGUCUCUCUCGCCAACCACAAAUCUUCCGCUAGGCCGCCAGCGACGCCAUCGCCGCCACCUACCUCGCCUCUCUGAC